ACUCCUACGGGAGGCAGCAGUGGGGAAUAUUGCACAAUGGGCGCAAGCCUGAUGCAGCGACGCCGCGUGGGGGAUGACGGCCUUCGGGUUGUAAACUCCUUUCGCUAGGGACGAAGCGCAAGUGACGGUACCUGGAGAAGAAGCACCGGCUAACUACGUGCCAGCAGCCGCGGUAAUACGUAGGGUGCGAGCGUUGUCCGGAAUUACUGGGCGUAAAGAGCUCGUAGGUGGUUUGUCGCGUCGUUUGUGUAAGCCCGCAGCUUAACUGCGGGACUGCAGGCGAUACGGGCAUAACUUGAGUGCUGUAGGGGAGACUGGAAUUCCUGGUGUAGCGGUGGAAUGCGCAGAUAUCAGGAGGAACACCGAUGGCGAAGGCAGGUCUCUGGGCAGUAACUGACGCUGAGGAGCGAAAGCAUGGGUAGCGAACAGGAUUAGAUACCCUGGUAGACUGUCAU
RNAcentral lists this ribosomal RNA (455 nucleotides) under uncultured bacterium. RNAcentral describes it as "bacterial SSU rRNA". It matches the Rfam family "Bacterial small subunit ribosomal RNA", at positions 335 to 803 of the family's 1533-position model. The record is from RNAcentral.